Long non-coding RNA from Dreissena polymorpha, 778 nucleotides. RefSeq lists it as uncharacterized. The record is from RefSeq and is a predicted model, not a curated record. The transcript has 3 exons. NCBI's taxonomy places the organism in Eukaryota, Metazoa, Mollusca, Bivalvia, Myida, Dreissenidae.
UCUGCAUAAAAUAAUAUACACUCUUGUCAAGUAAUGUAUAUUCUACAACGAUGAACUGAAAACUCUUCUCAAUACUUGACACAAUUACUAAAAACUUCAUAUUUGAAUAAUUUGAUAUUGGCGCUUGGCCGCUUUAAGACAGAAGGGACGAAAUGAGAUCUGUAAUAUUCGGGCAAUAUCGCCGUAUUCGGAAAGUGUUCGGCAACGAUUUGAAAACUACGUCGAAGUCCGGAAAUAAUACUUAAAUCAAGAAAUAAUUGAGUGCUUUUUAUCUUAAGAACUAAAACACAUUAUAAAUGUGUGUGUGUGUUUAUUUUAACUUUCAUUUCAAUUUAUUUUAAUUAAUUCGUUUGAAUUUUCUUUUUCGUUCAUAACUUCACAGCUGAAGACAUUUUGUUGCAAAAUGAAAGUGCGUAAAAAGGCCAAGCGGUUUGCAAACACAAAAAAAUGUGAUACCGAUAACCAAUGUUGUUCUGCUGUUCCAUUACUAUUACGGUUUACACCUGCGUCAAACAAGAUGCGAACGGUCUGAUUGAUUUGGCAAUCAACUAUGUCAACUAUGCUGUAUGCGUUCUAAAUUUUAACCAUGGAUAAAUUGCGUUGUUCUGUAAAGUAUGUCUCAGUACCAUGUAUGACAGCAGGAUAAAUGAGGUCAACCUUCUGACCGAUAAACAUCAAGCUUAAGCCUUAUAUGUGUCAACUAGAUCUACACCAACACAACAAAUGACGAUUUCAUUUUUUAUUAAUAAGAUUUUACCGGUAACUUACAUGUUUUUGC